This 460-nucleotide ribosomal RNA is filed under the name uncultured bacterium. Its description in RNAcentral is "partial 16S ribosomal RNA". It matches the Rfam family "Bacterial small subunit ribosomal RNA", at positions 338 to 795 of the family's 1533-position model. The record is from RNAcentral.
CCUACGGGUGGCAGCAGUGAGGAAUAUUGGUCAAUGGACGAGAGUCUGAACCAGCCAAGUAGCGUGAAGGAUGACUGCCCUAUGGGUUGUAAACUUCUUUUAUAUGGGAAUAAAAUGUUCCACGUGUGGGAUUUUGUAUGUACCAUAUGAAUAAGGAUCGGCUAACUCCGUGCCAGCAGCCGCGGUAAUACGGAGGAUCCGAGCGUUAUCCGGAUUUAUUGGGUUUAAAGGGAGCGUAGGUGGAUUGUUAAGUCAGUUGUGAAAGUUUGCGGCUCAACCGUAAAAUUGCAGUUGAAACUGGCAGUCUUGAGUACAGUAGAGGUGGGCGGAAUUCGGGGUGUAGCGGUGAAAUGCUUAGAUAUCACGAAGAACUCCGAUUGCGAAGGCAGUUCACUGGACUGAAACUGACACUGAGGCUCGAAAGUGUGGGUAUCAAACAGGAUUAGAUACCCCAGUAGUC